RNAcentral lists this transfer RNA (78 nucleotides) under Francisella tularensis subsp. holarctica OSU18. RNAcentral's name for it is "tRNA-His". It matches the Rfam family "tRNA". Rfam says of the family: Transfer RNA (tRNA) molecules are approximately 80 nucleotides in length. Their secondary structure includes four short double-helical elements and three loops (D, anti-codon, and T loops). The record is from RNAcentral. Lineage: Bacteria; Pseudomonadati; Pseudomonadota; Gammaproteobacteria; Thiotrichales; Francisellaceae.
GGUGGUUGUAGCUCAGUUGGUAGAGCCCCGGAUUGUGAUUCCGGUUGUCGUGGGUUCAAGUCCCAUCAAUCACCCCAG